CUGCUGAGCGGCCUCCUCUUCAUAGAGAAACUGGUGCAUCCUCUGCCGAUAGUUGGUGCAGGAGAUGGGACCUGGGGCCGGGCCACUGCGACUGAACUCCAGGGCCAGGGCAGGCACCUUGUACUUGGCCAUCAGGGCCACCUGCUCUGCCGUCCGAGCCACACUGGGCACCACGUGGCGGUUGCCAGGGUGCCAGCGCUCCAGCUCCAUGGGGUGGCCAGGCACUGGCGUCCCUUGGAGCCCUGUGCAGUGCACCUGGCCCAGCUGCAACCCCAGCUUUCGCAGCAGUGCUGGCCGGCGGCCAAAGUCAAAGACCACCCACUGCUCGAAGGUGCCGAAGGAGGCGCUCUGCACACCCACCCCCACCUGGAACUCAGCCCGGGAGCCGGGCACACAGAAGCGCUCCCCCUGUGCGUAGACCUGGCCCCGGGGGAGGCAGGGAGCCUCCAGCGAGAAGUCUGCUCCCGGCUCCUGCUUGAGCAGGGCCACGUUGUGCUCACGCUCGAAGUUCCAGACCAGCGCCUCCUCAGGGCUCCGGGCGAAGGUACACUGGUUGUAGUGGCGCCGGCACCCGACCCCAGGCCUGUAGUAGCGGCAAACUUCAUAGCGCAAGGGCUGCGGGAAGCUGGGCCGCCGGUCCACCUUGCGCCAGACCCUGCGCUUGGUGGCUCGCUUGGAGCGAGCCAGCAGGAUCUGGCGGGGGCAGCUGUGCUCCACCGCGCGCAGCAGGUAUGUGCUCUCGUUGAGGCGCUGGGUGCAGCGGGAGCAGCCCAGAUGCAGGUCCACCUGGGCGCACAGCCUGGCCAGAGGCGGCUCCUUGGCGGCCGUGGGGCUAGUGGGCGACGGGCCGAACCCGGGGAACACCAUCUCUGACACUGGCCUGUCUCUGCGGAGCGGCAUCUGAGGCUCAGGGGCUCAGCUGGCCCUCUGGGGCUGUUCACCCACAAUGAGAAGGCUGGGACAGAAGAGCAAGGAGCAAGGUCAGGCCCUGAGGCUGCAGGGCCUCUCGCACCCAGGUCGGAGCUCAAACACACCCUGCCUCUCCUCGGGCAAGGGGCCGAGGAAGCAGAAACAGUAAGGAGAAUUCUUCCCACACGAUGGGAGGAGAGGGUCGUUUGCUCCAAAGAGGCUGGGCCCCCUCAACCUUGACCCAGCUGAGUCUCCUCCCUUUCUGAAGUCUCUGGGCCCUGCCCAAAAGGAGCCAGCCCAGCAGCGAGUGGGAGGGGAGUGCCCCAGCAACAAGAACCCUGGGGACCGGCAGAAGCCCUGGGGGCCCGUGAACUUCCUGACCCUCCAGCCUUCUUCCUGGGGCCUGGCGUCCUAGGGCGCCUCAAGCUCCUGGUCUCCUGACUCUUCUACAGAGACAGCACCCCUGUUCUGGGAAGGACGGUUGGCCCCUGGGAGCAGUGCCCCCACAGCUGCCUGGCCCGGGGGACUGGUUUCCUCCCCAUUGGGGUGGUGCAGGAUCUGGCGGGGGCAGUGCUCCACCACGGGCAGGAGAUAGGUGCUCUCCGCCAGGCGCUGGGUGCAGCGGGAGCAGCCCAGAUGCAGGUCCACCUGGGCGCACAGCCUGGCCAGAGGCGGCUCCUUGGCGGCCGUGGGGCUAGCAGUCAACGGGCCGGACCCAGGGGACACCAUCUCUGACACUGGCCUGUCUCUUGCUGGGGCACCCCCCUCCCACUCGCUGCUGGGCUGGCUCCUUUUGGGCAGGGCCCAGAGACUCUUCAGAAA
Molecule: long non-coding RNA, 1731 nt
Filed under: Equus asinus (donkey)
Lineage: Eukaryota; Metazoa; Chordata; Mammalia; Perissodactyla; Equidae
Description: lncRNA (ENSEASG00005028035.1)
Source: RNAcentral